This 72-nucleotide transfer RNA is filed under the name Ecytonucleospora hepatopenaei. RNAcentral describes it as "Enterocytozoon sp. ST-2009a tRNA". It matches the Rfam family "tRNA". Rfam says of the family: Transfer RNA (tRNA) molecules are approximately 80 nucleotides in length. Their secondary structure includes four short double-helical elements and three loops (D, anti-codon, and T loops). Lineage: Eukaryota; Fungi; Microsporidia; Enterocytozoonidae. The record is from Rfam by way of RNAcentral.
UCCCUAUUGGUCUAACGGUUAGGAUUUCAGACUUUCACUCUGGCGGCCGGGGUUCGAUUCCCCGAUAGGGAA